Molecule: small RNA, 75 nt
Filed under: Xanthomonas campestris pv. ionidii
Lineage: Bacteria; Pseudomonadati; Pseudomonadota; Gammaproteobacteria; Lysobacterales; Lysobacteraceae
Description: sX9 sRNA
Rfam family: Xanthomonas sRNA sX9
Source: RNAcentral
AUGUACGACUCGUAAAAUUCGGUUCUGCUCGCCGCCCGCAACCAUCUGACGAUGGUUGGCUACGUUUCAUUAGCC